UACGUAGGGGGCAAGCGUUGUCCGGAAUCAUUGGGCGUAAAGAGCGUGUAGGCGGCUCGUUAAGUCGGUUGUGAAAGUCCAGGGCUCAACCCUGGGAUGCCGGUCGAUACUGCCGGACUAGAGUUCGGAAGAGGCGAGGGGAAUUCCCGGUGUAGCGGUGAAAUGCGCAGAUAUCGGGAGGAACACCUAUGGCGAAGGCAGCUCGCUGGGACGUUACUGACGCUGAGACGCGAAAGCGUGGGGAGCAAACAGG
RNAcentral lists this ribosomal RNA (253 nucleotides) under uncultured bacterium. RNAcentral's name for it is "partial 16S ribosomal RNA". It matches the Rfam family "Bacterial small subunit ribosomal RNA", at positions 524 to 776 of the family's 1533-position model. The record is from RNAcentral.